RNAcentral lists this ribosomal RNA (486 nucleotides) under uncultured bacterium. Its description in RNAcentral is "partial 16S ribosomal RNA". It matches the Rfam family "Bacterial small subunit ribosomal RNA", at positions 30 to 507 of the family's 1533-position model. The record is from RNAcentral.
AUUGAACGCUGGCGGCAUGCCUUACACAUGCAAGUCGAACGGCAGCACGGAUGCUUGCACCUGGUGGCGAGUGGCGAACGGGUGAGUAAUACAUCGGAACAUGUCCUGUAGUGGGGGAUAGCCCGGCGAAAGCCGGAUUAAUACCGCAUACGAUCUACGGAUGAAAGCGGGGGACCUUCGGGCCUCGCGCUAUAGGGUUGGCCGAUGGCUGAUUAGCUAGUUGGUGGGGUAAAGGCCUACCAAGGCGACGAUCAGUAGCUGGUCUGAGAGGACGACCAGCCACACUGGGACUGAGACACGGCCCAGACUCCUACGGGAGGCAGCAGUGGGGAAUUUUGGACAAUGGGCGAAAGCCUGAUCCAGCAAUGCCGCGUGUGUGAAGAAGGCCUUCGGGUUGUAAAGCACUUUUGUCCGGAGAGAAAUCCUUGGCCCUAAUACGGUCGGGGGAUGACGGUACCGGAAGAAUAAGCACCGGCUAACUACGUG